Molecule: ribosomal RNA, 268 nt
Filed under: uncultured bacterium
Lineage: Bacteria
Description: partial 16S ribosomal RNA
Rfam family: Bacterial small subunit ribosomal RNA
Source: RNAcentral
GCAAGUCGCACGAGAACUCUUCUGCUUGCAGAAGAUAGUAAAGUGGCGCACGGGUGAGUAACGCGUGGGUAAUCUACCUCCGAAUCGGGGAUAACCCGCCGAAAGGCGAGCUAAUACCGGAUAAUAUCUUUGAAACAUCGGUUUUUUAGAUCAAAGGUGGCCUCUACAUGUAAGCUACUGUUUGGAGAUGAGCCCGCGUACCAUUAGCUUGUUGGUAGGGUAAUGGCCUACCAAGGCUUCGAUGGUUAGCUGGUCUGAGAGGAUGAUC